GGCCUGAUGGUCUAGUAGCAUGAUUCCUCGUUUGGGUAUUUCUUUCAUCAGACAACUAAUUCGAGGAGGUCCGGGGUUCAACUCCCCGUCAGGCCC
This is a non-coding RNA of Crucibulum laeve, 96 nucleotides long. NCBI's taxonomy places the organism in Eukaryota, Fungi, Basidiomycota, Agaricomycetes, Agaricales, Nidulariaceae. The record is from the annotation of a GenBank genome assembly.